This 468-nucleotide ribosomal RNA is filed under the name uncultured bacterium. RNAcentral's name for it is "partial 16S ribosomal RNA". It matches the Rfam family "Bacterial small subunit ribosomal RNA", at positions 28 to 507 of the family's 1533-position model. The record is from RNAcentral.
GACGAACGCUGGCGGCGUGCUUAACACAUGCAAGUCGAACGGAAAGGCCCUGCUUUUGUGGGGUGCUCGAGUGGCGAACGGGUGAGUAACACGUGAGUAACCUGCCCUUGACUUUGGGAUAACUUCAGGAAACUGGGGCUAAUACCGGAUAGGAGCUCCUGCUGCAUGGUGGGGGUUGGAAAGUUUCGGCGGUUGGGGAUGGACUCGCGGCUUAUCAGCUUGUUGGUGGGGUAGUGGCUUACCAAGGCUUUGACGGGUAGCCGGCCUGAGAGGGUGACCGGCCACAUUGGGACUGAGAUACGGCCCAGACUCCUACGGGAGGCAGCAGUGGGGAAUAUUGCACAAUGAGCGGAAGCCUGAUGCAGAAACGCCGCGUGCGGGAUGACGGCCUUCGGGUUGUAAACCGCUUUCGCCUGUGACGAAGCGUGAGUGACGGUAAUGGGUAAAGAAGCACCGGCUAACUACGUG